RNAcentral lists this ribosomal RNA (411 nucleotides) under Actinomycetes bacterium. RNAcentral describes it as "Actinobacteria bacterium partial 16S ribosomal RNA". It matches the Rfam family "Bacterial small subunit ribosomal RNA", at positions 355 to 776 of the family's 1533-position model. Lineage: Bacteria; Bacillati; Actinomycetota; Actinomycetes. The record is from RNAcentral.
UGGGGAAUAUUGCACAAUGGGCGUAAGCCUGAUGCAGCGACGCCGCGUGGGGGAUGACGGCCUUCGGGUUGUAAACUCCUUUCGCUAGGGACGAAGCUUUUUGUGACGGUACCUAGAUAAGAAGCACCGGCUAACUACGUGCCAGCAGCCGCGGUAAUACGUAGGGUGCGAGCGUUGUCCGGAAUUACUGGGCGUAAAGGGCUCGUAGGUGGUUUGUCGCGUCGUCUGUGAAAUUCCGGGGCUUAACUCCGGGCGUGCAGGCGAUACGGGCAUAACUUGAGUACUGUAGGGGUAACUGGAAUUCCUGGUGUAGCGGUGAAAUGCGCAGAUAUCAGGAGGAACACCGAUGGCGAAGGCAGGUUACUGGGCAGUUACUGACGCUGAGGAGCGAAAGCAUGGGUAGCGAACAGG